Molecule: ribosomal RNA, 460 nt
Filed under: uncultured bacterium
Lineage: Bacteria
Description: partial 16S ribosomal RNA
Rfam family: Bacterial small subunit ribosomal RNA
Source: RNAcentral
CCUACGGGUGGCAGCAGUGAGGAAUAUUGGUCAAUGGGCUUACACCUGAACCAGCCAAGCCGCGUGAGGGAAGACUGCCCUCUGGGUUGUAAACUUCUUUUGUCAGGGAGCAAUUGGCGCUACGUGUAGCGUUAUCGAGAGUAGCUAAAGAAAAAGCAUCGGCUAACUCCGUGCCAGCAUCCGCGGUAAUACGGAGGAUGCGGGCGUGAUCCGGAUUGAUUGGGUUUAAAGGGUGCGUAGGCGGAAUGCCAAGUCAGCGGUAAAAUCGCGGGGCUCAACCUCGCUCCGCCGUUGAAACUGGCGUGCUUGAGUGGGCGAGAGGGAUGUGGAAUGCGGGGUGUAGCGGUGAAAUGCGUAGAUAUCACGCAGAACUCCGAUUGCGAAGGCAGCAUACCGGCGCCGGACUGACGCUGAGGCACGAAAGCGUGGGGAUCGAACAGGAUUAGAUACCCGGGUAGUC